CAUAGAAUUCUUGUAAUUCAAACAGGUAUCUCAUCUUUAAAUUAAUUCAGGGGACAUUUGCGUUUUUGGUAGCUUUUUAUCUCAAACAGUUUGAGUGUGUUUAUUUAGGGAGAGGGGAUAGUGGAAAGAGGAUAAACAGAGGCUUGAGAGUAUUGUGACAUCAGAUCCAAACAGACCAGACACUCAACUUGCCAAGUAACAAAUAGUAAGCACGACGCAGUCUCUCGACGUAUGAAGAUGAGCAAGCCGAGAAGUAGAGUAAGACGCAUAAAACUGAUAUCGUGAAUGAUUCAUUCGGUUCUAUAUAGUAGGAAGCCCCCAAAAAAAAAAGGAA
This is a long non-coding RNA of Brassica oleracea var. oleracea, 334 nucleotides long. RefSeq lists it as uncharacterized. Lineage: Eukaryota; Viridiplantae; Streptophyta; Magnoliopsida; Brassicales; Brassicaceae. The record is from RefSeq and is a predicted model, not a curated record. The transcript is spliced from 2 exons.